UCAAGAGCACUGGGUGCUCCUGCA
This 24-nucleotide non-coding RNA is filed under the name Rattus norvegicus (Norway rat). The record is from RNAcentral. Lineage: Eukaryota; Metazoa; Chordata; Mammalia; Rodentia; Muridae.